AGUUUUUAGGAGGACGAGUCAGCCUGCCCAGCUGACUGCGCUUAGAGGGACCACAGUUGAAGGUUGAGAUACAAGCUCUAGGGCCUUGCUGCUCAAAGUACGAGCCAUUGACCAGCAGCAUCCACAUCAUUGGGAGCUUGCUAGAAACACAGUCUUGCACCUCGCCCCAGACAUCCGGAAUCAGAAUCUGCAGAACAUGCGAACUUAACUGCAAUGAGAUCUGCAAGGGAAUGCACAUUAAAGUUGAUGAAUUCUGUUCUCAGGUGACAUCAUUUAUGUGUCUAUUUAAAAAAAAGUACAGUUUAAUUUUAAACCAUACUCCACC
Molecule: long non-coding RNA, 325 nt
Filed under: Equus caballus (horse)
Lineage: Eukaryota; Metazoa; Chordata; Mammalia; Perissodactyla; Equidae
Description: lncRNA (ENSECAG00000035509.3)
Source: RNAcentral